Molecule: ribosomal RNA, 1077 nt
Filed under: Triticum aestivum (bread wheat)
Lineage: Eukaryota; Viridiplantae; Streptophyta; Magnoliopsida; Poales; Poaceae
Description: partial small subunit ribosomal RNA
Source: RNAcentral
AUGGGGGCAGCAGCAGCAGCACUGGUUCUAGUCAUGGCUGGCCUCUUGGGAGCUGCAGCUGCCAGUGUAGGCGACGAGUGUUCGACGACGACGAGUGUUGGCUGCGGUGCCGGGCAGUGGUGCUUCGACUGCGAGCCGAAGCUCGCCGGCUCCCACUGCGUCCGCUCAGCCGCCACCAACCCCUUCCAACUCGUUAAUAACUCGUUGCCAUUCAAUAAGUACGCCUACCUCACGACGCACAAUUCAUUCGCGAUUGUUGGGGAACCGUCGCACACCGGAAUUCCACGCAUCACCUUCGACAACCAGGAGGAUACAGUCACCGAUCAGUUAAAGAAUGGUGUUCGCGCGCUAAUGCUCGACACAUAUGACUUCAAAGGAAGUGUAUGGUUGUGCCAUUCCAGUGGAGGCAAAUGCAACGAUUUUACUGCAUUUGAACCGGCAUUGGACACAUUCAAGGAAAUUGAGGCGUUUCUUUCUGCCAAUCCAUCUGAAAUUGUUACGUUGAUCCUGGAAGACUAUGUUCACGCGCCAAAUGGCCUGACGAACGUGUUCAAGGCCUCUGGUCUGCAAAAGUACUGGUUUCCGGUGUCGAAUAUGCCAAAGGAUGGUCAGGAGUGGCCUCUUGUCAGCGAAAUGGUCACAAGCAACCAGCGCCUCCUUGUGUUCACCUCUGCCAGAUCGAAGCAAGUCACAGAAGGAAUCGCAUACCAGUGGAAUUUCAUGGUUGAGAAUAAUUAUGGCGACGAUGGAAUGGAUGCUGGCAAAUGCUCAAACCGUGCAGAGUCCGCGCCGCUCAACGACAAGACCAAGUCACUGGUCCUCAUGAACUACUUCCCAUCUGUCCCAAUGAAGCCGACUGCGUGUUUGCAGCACUCCAGGGGCCUCACUGGCAUGUCUAACACAUGCUACGGCUCAGCUGGAAACCGAUGGGCUAAUUUCAUCGCAGUUGAUUACUACAAGAGAAGCGAGGGAGGGGGCGCGUUCCAAGCCACCGAUCUGCUCAACGGCAUGCUCCUGUGUGGAUGCCAGGACGUCAAGGCUUGCCAGCGAGGAUCUAGCGUAGUAUGCUCUACCUGA